Molecule: ribosomal RNA, 406 nt
Filed under: uncultured bacterium
Lineage: Bacteria
Description: partial 16S ribosomal RNA
Rfam family: Bacterial small subunit ribosomal RNA
Source: RNAcentral
AUUGAACGCUGGCGGCAGGCCUAACACAUGCAAGUCGAACGAGUGGCGGACGGGUGAGUAAUGUCUGGGAAACUGCCCGAUGGAGGGGGAUAACUACUGGAAACGGUAGCUAAUACCGCAUACCAUCGGAUGUGCCCAGAUGGGAUUAGGUAGUAGGUGGGGUAACGGCUCUCCUAGGCGACGAUCCCUAGCUGGUCUGAGAGGGUGACCGGCGAGACUGCAACUGAGACACGGUCCAGACUCCGACGCGAGGCAGCAGUGGGGAAUAUUGCGCAAUGGGGGCAAGCCUGAUGCAGCCAUGCCGCGUGUAUGAAGAAGGCCUUCGGGUUGUAAAGUACUUUCAGCGAGGAGGCGUUACUCGCAGAAGAAGCACCGGCUAACUCCGUGCCAGCCGCCGCGGUAAUUC